ACUCAAAGGAAUUGACGGGGGCCCGCACAAGCGGAGGAACAUGUGGUUUAAUUCGAUGAUACGCGAGGAACCUUACCCGGGCUUGAAAUAUACUUGAAUGGAGGUGAAAGCUUUCAGCCAGCAAUGGCAAGUAUGUAGGUGCUGCAUGGUUGUCGUCAGCUCGUGCCGUGAGGUGUCGGCUUAAGUGCCAUAACGAGCGCAACCCCUAUUGUUAGUUACUAACAGGUUAAGCUGAGGACUCUAACGAGACUGCCACCGUAAGGUGUGAGGAAGGUGGGGAUGACGUCAAAUCAGCACGGCCCUUACGUCCGGGGCGACACACGUGUUACAAUGGUAGGUACAGAGGGCAGCUACCCGGCGACGGGAUGCCAAUCUUAUAAAACCUAUCUCAGUUCGGAUCGGAGUCUGCAACUCGACUCCGUGAAGCUGGAUUCGCUAGUAAUCGCGCAUCAGCCAUGGCGCGGUGAAUACGUUCCCGGGCCUUGUACACACCGCCCGU
Molecule: ribosomal RNA, 499 nt
Filed under: uncultured bacterium
Lineage: Bacteria
Description: bacterial SSU rRNA
Rfam family: Bacterial small subunit ribosomal RNA
Source: RNAcentral